CAUAAACAUUUACUAAGUCAGCAACAAGAAACUGUCAAUCACAGAGUUAUUAUCAGUGCAUGGAACCAAAGUAAUGUGAUUAUUACAUAAAUAAAAUUAGCCUCCAAUGUAGAUUUUGAAUUAUAUUUCAACAACUAUUUUUUUUUUAAACAACAAUGAAUCUGAAACAAUUUGCCUAAUUAACACUUAAGCAAAUUCAUUUCAGAUCACUUUUUACAGGGAUUACAAAAAAAAAUACUACUAUUGUUUACCACAAUACUUCUUUUAAUUCUUAUAAAUCCUCCAUCAAAUAGUUUGCAUAAAACACCUGUCAAUGGUCAGAACCAGUUAAUUUAGAAUUUUACUACACCUAAUUUCAAUCAAAUUUAGGGAAUUACACAAGUAAUAGUGCAUAAUAUAUAUUAUGCAAAAAUUUGAUUCAUACAUUCCUUCAAUAAUCUUUUAAAAAACCAACUUUACUCUAAAAUGUAUUUAUAACAUGGUAAGACGUUAAUGAACUAGAGGUUCUAUAUAGAGCCUGUGUUGCUCAUCUGCAUCUAUAUGCAUCUUUAACAAUGGCCACUCUUUAAAAUUGAGGACAAGAGUAUAAUUCAGGACUGAAAUCUCCUUCUGGCCAUGAAUGAGGUCAAGUUUGGCUAACUUUAUACUGCCGGGCUUGACCUUUGUGUCACCAUCAAGAUUUAUACCAGGCACCUUUAAAACUUUGUUAGAAUGUUUCCCCCAACUGUAAUUAGACUAAUAAGAGGCUUUGAUUGCUUGACAGACUUGUUAUAUUUUUUUAUCCAAUGUCACAUUGGCAGAUUUCUUCUUAGUUACCUCAAUUACUUUUGAUGGGGCUUUAGGUCAGUCUCUGUUUCAAAGCUAAUCCAGCCAAAACAACAAGCAGGCUAGCUUUUUUUUAUUAUAAUCUCCUUCCAAAGUACAAGGUAAAUUAUACAUUGAAAUGAAUAAACUUGCUAAACAUUGAAAAGCAAGUUGAGAUGAUGACCACCAAAUUUUAAGUGGACAUUGCAUAUUUUAAAGUUUUUUAAUAUCAUUAGGUGACUUAUCAUUUAAAGGAUUUUUCAGACUUCCAUUCAAUGGUUGUAAAAUUAAAGAACCUUAGUGAGCGCACUCACAUACCCCAUGUCCCCACAUUGUCAUUGGAGAAAUAAAAUAAGUGUAAGAAAAAAAAAUUGAAUCAUAAUUUCCUGUCAAUAUGCACAUCUACAUAGUAUGUCCUUAUUAUCUACACAGUUUCAUGAAAUUCUGUUGUGUGGUUUGAGAGGGGUUGCGAUGACAAAAGGUUGCAGUAGUAUAUUGGGCAAAUAAGUUCAAAGGGGCGUAACUCCUGGAAAAAAAAUUGAAUCGUAAUUUCCUGUCGAUAUGCACAUCUACAUAGUAUGUCCUUAUUAUCUACACAGUUUCAUGAAAUUCUGUUGUAUGGUUUGAGAGUAGUUGCGAUGACAAAAGGUUGCAGUAGUAUAUUGGGCAAAUAAGUUCAAAGGGGCGCAACUCCUGGAAAAAAAAUUGAAUCGUAAUUUCCUGUCGAUAUGCACAUCUACAUAGUAUGUCCUUAUUAUCUGAAAAGGUUUCAUGAAAUUCUGUUGUGUGGUUUGAGAGGAGUUGCAAUGACAAACUGUUGCAGUAUUACAUUAAAGUAAAUAAGUUCAAAGGGGCGUAACUCCUAGAAAAAGAAUUGAAUCGUAAUUUCCUGUCGAUAUGCACAACUACAUAGUAUGUCCUUAUUAUCUAAAAAGGUUUCGUGAAAUUCUGUUGUGUGCUUUGAGAGGAGUUGCGAUGACAAGAAACAGGACUGACGGACGGACAGACGGACUGACGGGUCAAAAACAUUAUACCCUCCGCAACUCGUUGCGUGGGGUAUAAUUAAAGAUUUGAAGAAUCCUAUAACUAUAAACCAACUUUAUAAUUUCAAGGAUACUUUUUUUGUGGUUCUCCCUUUCCAUUGGACUCGUGUCAACAAAUUGCUGGCAAAAAAAAGAUGGUUUUGUCACCAUAUCCUAAACUUUUAGUCCCCUAAUGGCCCUCUACAAGCUUGUCAUA
Long non-coding RNA from Mytilus californianus (California mussel), 2043 nucleotides. RefSeq lists it as uncharacterized. The record is from RefSeq and is a predicted model, not a curated record. NCBI's taxonomy places the organism in Eukaryota, Metazoa, Mollusca, Bivalvia, Mytilida, Mytilidae. The transcript is spliced from 3 exons.